GAUGAAGAACGUAGCGAAAUGCGAUAAGUAAUGUGAAUUGCAGAAUUCAGUGAAUCAUCGAAUCUUUGAACGCACCUUGCACCCUUUGGCAUUCCGAAGGGUAUGCUCGUUUGAGUGUCAUUAUACUCUCACACUCCCAAUUGCUUUGGAUUGGGAGCGGUGGACUUGGGUGUUGCUGCUUGACUGAGGCUCACCUGAAAUAUGUUAGUGCACCUCUUGAUUGGACAUAGUACGGCGUGAUAAGUGUCUUCGCCGGCUCCUCGCAAAGAGGGUGGCCGAUCGGGAGCUCUGUUGCUUCAAACUGUCUUCGGACAAUCUUCUGGCGACUUGACCUCAAAUCGAGUAGGACUACCCGCUGAACUUAAGCAUAUCAAUAAGCGGAGGA
RNAcentral lists this unclassified non-coding RNA (385 nucleotides) under soil metagenome. Its description in RNAcentral is "partial contains 5.8S ribosomal RNA, internal transcribed spacer 2, and large subunit ribosomal RNA". The stretch from base 1 to 120 matches the Rfam family "5.8S ribosomal RNA", at positions 35 to 154 of the family's 154-position model. The record is from RNAcentral.